GUUAUAUGGUCAAGUGAAGAAGCGCAUACGGUGGAUGCCUUGGCAGUCAGAGGCGAUGAAAGACGUGGUAGCCUGCGAAAAGCUUCGGGGAGUCGGCAAACAGACUUUGAUCCGGAGAUGUCUGAAUGGGGGAACCCAGCCAUCAUAAGAUGGUUAUCUUGUACUGAAUACAUAGGUGCAAGAAGCGAACCAGGGGAACUGAAACAUCUAAGUACCCUGAGGAAAAGAAAUCAACCGAGAUUCCCAGAGUAGUGGCGAGCGAACGGGGACUAGCCCUUAAGUGGCUUUGAGAUUAGCGGAACGCUCUGGAAAGUGCGGCCAUAGUGGGUGAUAGCCCUGUACGCGAAAAUCUCUUAGUCAUGAAAUCGAGUAGGACGGAGCACGAGAAACUUUGUCUGAAUAUGGGGGGACCAUCCUCCAAGGCUAAAUACUCCUGACUGACCGAUAGUGAACCAGUACCGUGAGGGAAAGGCGAAAAGAACCCCGGCGAGGGGAG
This 496-nucleotide ribosomal RNA is filed under the name Oceanimonas baumannii. Its description in RNAcentral is "bacterial LSU rRNA". It matches the Rfam family "Bacterial large subunit ribosomal RNA", at positions 1 to 538 of the family's 2925-position model. Lineage: Bacteria; Pseudomonadati; Pseudomonadota; Gammaproteobacteria; Aeromonadales; Aeromonadaceae. The record is from RNAcentral.